GGGGAAUUUUGGACAAUGGGGGCAACCCUGAUCCAGCAAUGCCGCGUGCAGGAAGAAGGCCUUCGGGUUGUAAACUGCUUUUGUCAGGGAAGAAAUCCUGUGGGUUAAUACCUCGUGGGGAUGACGGUACCUGAAGAAUAAGCACCGGCUAACUACGUGCCAGCAGCCGCGGUAAUACGUAGGGUGCGGGCGUUAAUCGGAAUUACUGGGCGUAAAGCGUGCGCAGGCGGUUUUGUAAGACAGAGGUGAAAUCCCCGGGCUCAACCUGGGAACUGCCUUUGUGACUGCAAGGCUGGAGUACGGCAGAGGGGGAUGGAAUUCCGCGUGUAGCAGUGAAAUGCGUAGAUAUGCGGAGGAACACCGAUGGCGAAGGCAAUCCCCUGGGCCUGUACUGACGCUCAUGCACGAAAGCGUGGGGAGCAAAC
Molecule: ribosomal RNA, 425 nt
Filed under: uncultured bacterium
Lineage: Bacteria
Description: bacterial SSU rRNA
Rfam family: Bacterial small subunit ribosomal RNA
Source: RNAcentral